Molecule: ribosomal RNA, 811 nt
Filed under: uncultured Bacillus sp.
Lineage: Bacteria; Bacillati; Bacillota; Bacilli; Caryophanales; Bacillaceae
Description: SSU rRNA
Rfam family: Bacterial small subunit ribosomal RNA
Source: RNAcentral
UAUUGGGCGUAAGCGCGCGCAGGUGGUUCCUUAAGUCUGAUGUGAAAGCCCACGGCUCAACCGUGGAGGGUCAUUGGAAACUGGGGAACUUGAGUGCAGAAGAGGAAAGUGGAAUUCCACGUGUAGCGGUGAAAUGCGUAGAGAUGUGGAGGAACACCAGUGGCGAAGGCGACUUUCUGGUCUGUAACUGACACUGAGGCGCGAAAGCGUGGGGAGCGAACAGGAUUAGAUACCCUGGUAGUCCACGCCGUAAACGAUGAGUGCUAAGUGUUAGAGGGUUUCCGCCCUUUAGUGCUGCAGCUAACGCAUUAAGCACUCCGCCUGGGGAGUACGGCCGCAAGGCUGAAACUCAAAGGAAUUGACGGGGGCCCGCACAAGCUGUGGAGCAUGUGGUUUAAUUCGAAGCAACGCGAAGAACCUUACCAGGUCUUGACAUCCUCUGACAACCCUAGAGAUAGGGCCUUCCCUUUCGGGGGACAGAGUGACAGGUGGUGCAUGGUUGUCGUCAGCUCGUGUCGUGAGAUGUUGGGUUAAGUCCCGCAACGAGCGCAACCCUUGAUCUUAGUUGCCAGCAUUCAGUUGGGCACUCUAAGGUGACUGCCGGUGACAAACCGGAGGAAGGUGGGGAUGACGUCAAAUCAUCAUGCCCCUUAUGACCUGGGCUACACACGUGCUACAAUGGAUGGUACAAAGAGCCCGCAAACCCGCGAGGGCAAGCUAAUCUCAUAAAGCCAUUCUCAGUUCGGAUUGCAGGCUGCAACUCGCCUGCAUGAAGCCGGAAUCGCUAGUAAUCGCGGAUCAGCAUGCCGCG